GGGCCCGCACAAGCGGUGGAGCAUGUGGUUUAAUUCGAUGAUACGCGAGGAACCUUACCAGGGCUUAAAUGUAAGUUGCAUAAACUAGAGAUAGUUUUUUCUUCGGACUACUUACAAGGUGCUGCAUGGUUGUCGUCAGCUCGUGCCGUGAGGUGUCAGGUUAAGUCCUAUAACGAGCGCAACCCCUGUUGUUAGUUGCCAUCGAGUAAUGUCGGGAACUCUAGCGAGACUGCCGGUGCAAACCGUGAGGAAGGUGGGGAUGACGUCAAAUCAUCACGGCCCUUACGUCCUGGCUACACACGUGCUACAAUGGCCGGUACAGAGAGCAGCCACUACGCGAGUAGGAG
RNAcentral lists this ribosomal RNA (347 nucleotides) under uncultured bacterium. RNAcentral describes it as "bacterial SSU rRNA". It matches the Rfam family "Bacterial small subunit ribosomal RNA", at positions 917 to 1267 of the family's 1533-position model. The record is from RNAcentral.